CUAGGGCUGUGGAUGGUGCGCCACCUUCCUGGUUUGUUCCAACCUUCUUCUCAUGCCUGUGCUGGGUAGAGGGGACCAGGGGGAGGCCGGAAGUGAGGGCAGAAGGCCAGGUCAUGCCACCAAUAACCAGGGCCCAGAAUUCUUGGCCUGGGAUGGAGUCGGGACGGGAAGAGACGGAGCCUGCUCUUCCCAAGUCGUCGACUCUAACACCAAGCGCCAGGGAGUCUGAGAUUUCUGUGCUGGAACACGGACCACCUGGUUGUUAUGAAGGGACCCAGCGGGUCUUCUACCACCUGGAGCCCAGCUGGCGAAGGAUGGACAUCACUCCAGCCCAGGCCUCCUGUUCUGCUGUGAUCCGCCUCUCCUGGGCACCUGGCAUACACCGGCUGCUUACCUACUUACACGUCUGUUUUCUUGGGUUGACCAGUAGUCUGGUAAACUAGUUCACAUCAAUGCUUGUAGCAUCUACUUCCAGAGAACUUCUACAUUUCAUUUUUAUUUUUAUUUAUUUUCUUCCUUGUAGUUUCCAUAUUUUAUUUUCUCUUUGCUUGUAAUUUUAAUAUAGACAAAAGUAGGCAAUUGACAUAUUUGUUAGGACCACUCACCCAUGACCUGCAUAGAUUAUUUCUGAUUCUCACAACAUUCCUUUAGGUCAGUGUUAUGACUAGUUCAUAAAUGAAGAAAGGAGGCUUAGAAAAGUUAAGUGAUCCCCUUUAAGUAUUGUAUGAUACAAAGUGGGAUCUGGGCAGGUUGUGGGAAGGAGAAAUUGCAAGUAUACACUAAAAUGAGCCA
Manis javanica (Malayan pangolin) is the source of this 792-nucleotide non-coding RNA. Lineage: Eukaryota; Metazoa; Chordata; Mammalia; Pholidota; Manidae. The record is from RefSeq and is a predicted model, not a curated record.